GUUUUGAAAAAAUGGUCAUUAAAAUACAAAUAGUCCUUGUAUCCCUUGCGUCAUUGAAGAAGUUUGUUGGCUGGCGCACUUCUACCAUACUGUUGGUUCGCUGAAACAAUUCUACAACCUCUGAGUAAGGUAACGUAGUUUGAAGAUACCUCAGGGUCCGGUCAGCGGCGUCAAACCUAUACCCUCGCACGGAUAAAUGAGGAUAAAAGGUGACAUCUUGGUUAGAAUGAGACGGGGGUCACUCAGAAGAAAUGGGGGUUAGCACUCCUGGACGCCCGAUUGCACGGAACGCAUACUUGGAGCUACGUCCAUCUCCUGGAAGCAUAACCUCUAGAGCUUGGUCGGCCUUAUCUUUGUGGGUGCCGGGAUCUUUGCUCAGUAGACAUUCUUCAAGAACUAUUUGUACCAUCCACCAUCAUCGACCUUUUCGUCCCCAUCAAUGUCAAUCCCUGCACUAAGCAAGCUCAUUCGGUCUCUAAAAACUGUGCAUGUGGGAUGAAUAGUCUUUCAUGUACUCCGGUCAGAGGAUGCAAGCAGCUAUAAGAAGUUGUACGAAGUGCUGUACCGGGCAAUUGAACUAUCAUCAUCGUGGUCGCCGAAAAUCGGACAGGGAAAAAAA
Molecule: small RNA, 619 nt
Filed under: Cryptococcus neoformans H99
Lineage: Eukaryota; Fungi; Basidiomycota; Tremellomycetes; Tremellales; Cryptococcaceae
Description: Cryptococcus neoformans var. grubii H99 hypothetical RNA
Source: RNAcentral